Molecule: ribosomal RNA, 396 nt
Filed under: uncultured bacterium
Lineage: Bacteria
Description: partial 16S ribosomal RNA
Rfam family: Bacterial small subunit ribosomal RNA
Source: RNAcentral
AUACGUAGGUGGCAAGCGUUGUCCGGAAUUACUGGGUGUAAAGGGCGUGUAGGCGGAGCGGCAAGUCAGAAGUGAAAUCUCCGGGCUUAACCCGGAAACUGCUUUUGAAACUGUCGCCCUUGAGUAUCGGAGAGGCAGGCGGAAUUCCUAGUGUAGCGGUGAAAUGCGUAGACAUUAGGAGGAACACCAGUGGCGAAGGCGGCCUGCUGGACGACAACUGACGCUGAGGCGCGAAAGCGUGGGGAGCAAACAGGAUUAGAUACCCUGGUAGUCCACGCCGUAAACGAUGGAUACUAGGUGUGGGGGGACUGACCCCCUCCGUGCCGCAGUCAACACAAUAAGUAUCCCACCUGGGGAGUACGAUCGCAAGAUUGAAACUCAAAUGAAUUGACGGGG